RNAcentral lists this ribosomal RNA (2931 nucleotides) under Escherichia coli. RNAcentral describes it as "bacterial LSU rRNA". It matches the Rfam family "Bacterial large subunit ribosomal RNA". The record is from RNAcentral. Lineage: Bacteria; Pseudomonadati; Pseudomonadota; Gammaproteobacteria; Enterobacterales; Enterobacteriaceae.
GGGUUGUGAGGUUAAGCGACUAAGCGUACACGGUGGAUGCCCUGGCAGUCAGAGGCGAUGAAGGACGUGCUAAUCUGCGAUAAGCGUCGGUAAGGUGAUAUGAACCGUUAUAACCGGCGAUUUCCGAAUGGGGAAACCCAGUGUGUUUCGACACACUAUCAUUAACUGAAUCCAUAGGUUAAUGAGGCGAACCGGGGGAACUGAAACAUCUAAGUACCCCGAGGAAAAGAAAUCAACCGAGAUUCCCCCAGUAGCGGCGAGCGAACGGGGAGCAGCCCAGAGCCUGAAUCAGUGUGUGUGUUAGUGGAAGCGUCUGGAAAGGCGCGCGAUACAGGGUGACAGCCCCGUACACAAAAAUGCACAUGCUGUGAGCUCGAUGAGUAGGGCGGGACACGUGGUAUCCUGUCUGAAUAUGGGGGGACCAUCCUCCAAGGCUAAAUACUCCUGACUGACCGAUAGUGAACCAGUACCGUGAGGGAAAGGCGAAAAGAACCCCGGCGAGGGGAGUGAAAAAGAACCUGAAACCGUGUACGUACAAGCAGUGGGAGCACGCUUAGGCGUGUGACUGCGUACCUUUUGUAUAAUGGGUCAGCGACUUAUAUUCUGUAGCAAGGUUAACCGAAUAGGGGAGCCGAAGGGAAACCGAGUCUUAACUGGGCGUUAAGUUGCAGGGUAUAGACCCGAAACCCGGUGAUCUAGCCAUGGGCAGGUUGAAGGUUGGGUAACACUAACUGGAGGACCGAACCGACUAAUGUUGAAAAAUUAGCGGAUGACUUGUGGCUGGGGGUGAAAGGCCAAUCAAACCGGGAGAUAGCUGGUUCUCCCCGAAAGCUAUUUAGGUAGCGCCUCGUGAAUUCAUCUCCGGGGGUAGAGCACUGUUUCGGCAAGGGGGUCAUCCCGACUUACCAACCCGAUGCAAACUGCGAAUACCGGAGAAUGUUAUCACGGGAGACACACGGCGGGUGCUAACGUCCGUCGUGAAGAGGGAAACAACCCAGACCGCCAGCUAAGGUCCCAAAGUCAUGGUUAAGUGGGAAACGAUGUGGGAAGGCCCAGACAGCCAGGAUGUUGGCUUAGAAGCAGCCAUCAUUUAAAGAAAGCGUAAUAGCUCACUGGUCGAGUCGGCCUGCGCGGAAGAUGUAACGGGGCUAAACCAUGCACCGAAGCUGCGGCAGCGACGCUUAUGCGUUGUUGGGUAGGGGAGCGUUCUGUAAGCCUGUGAAGGUGUGCUGUGAGGCAUGCUGGAGGUAUCAGAAGUGCGAAUGCUGACAUAAGUAACGAUAAAGCGGGUGAAAAGCCCGCUCGCCGGAAGACCAAGGGUUCCUGUCCAACGUUAAUCGGGGCAGGGUGAGUCGACCCCUAAGGCGAGGCCGAAAGGCGUAGUCGAUGGGAAACAGGUUAAUAUUCCUGUACUUGGUGUUACUGCGAAGGGGGGACGGAGAAGGCUAUGUUGGCCGGGCGACGGUUGUCCCGGUUUAAGCGUGUAGGCUGGUUUUCCAGGCAAAUCCGGAAAAUCAAGGCUGAGGCGUGAUGACGAGGCACUACGGUGCUGAAGCAACAAAUGCCCUGCUUCCAGGAAAAGCCUCUAAGCAUCAGGUAACAUCAAAUCGUACCCCAAACCGACACAGGUGGUCAGGUAGAGAAUACCAAGGCGCUUGAGAGAACUCGGGUGAAGGAACUAGGCAAAAUGGUGCCGUAACUUCGGGAGAAGGCACGCUGAUACGUAGGUGAAGUCCCUCGCGGAUGGAGCUGAAAUCAGUCGAAGAUACCAGCUGGCUGCAACUGUUUAUUAAAAACACAGCACUGUGCAAACACGAAAGUGGACGUAUACGGUGUGACGCCUGCCCGGUGCCGGAAGGUUAAUUGAUGGGGUCAGCGCAAGCGAAGCUCUUGAUCGAAGCCCCGGUAAACGGCGGCCGUAACUAUAACGGUCCUAAGGUAGCGAAAUUCCUUGUCGGGUAAGUUCCGACCUGCACGAAUGGCGUAAUGAUGGCCAGGCUGUCUCCACCCGAGACUCAGUGAAAUUGAACUCGCUGUGAAGAUGCAGUGUACCCGCGGCAAGACGGAAAGACCCCGUGAACCUUUACUAUAGCUUGACACUGAACAUUGAGCCUUGAUGUGUAGGAUAGGUGGGAGGCUUGGAAGUGUGGACGCCAGUCUGCAUGGAGCCGACCUUGAAAUACCACCCUUUAAUGUUUGAUGUUCUAACGUUGACCCGUGAUCCGGGUUGCGGACAGUGUCUGGUGGGUAGUUUGACUGGGGCGGUCUCCUCCUAAAGAGUAACGGAGGAGCACGAAGGUUGGCUAAUCCUGGUCGGACAUCAGGAGGUUAGUGCAAUGGCAUAAGCCAGCUUGACUGCGAGCGUGACGGCGCGAGCAGGUGCGAAAGCAGGUCAUAGUGAUCCGGUGGUUCUGAAUGGAAGGGCCAUCGCUCAACGGAUAAAAGGUACUCCGGGGAUAACAGGCUGAUACCGCCCAAGAGUUCAUAUCGACGGCGGUGUUUGGCACCUCGAUGUCGGCUCAUCACAUCCUGGGGCUGAAGUAGGUCCCAAGGGUAUGGCUGUUCGCCAUUUAAAGUGGUACGCGAGCUGGGUUUAGAACGUCGUGAGACAGUUCGGUCCCUAUCUGCCGUGGGCGCUGGAGAACUGAGGGGGGCUGCUCCUAGUACGAGAGGACCGGAGUGGACGCAUCACUGGUGUUCGGGUUGUCAUGCCAAUGGCACUGCCCGGUAGCUAAAUGCGGAAGAGAUAAGUGCUGAAAGCAUCUAAGCACGAAACUUGCCCCGAGAUGAGUUCUCCCUGACUCCUUGAGAGUCCUGAAGGAACGUUGAAGACGACGACGUUGAUAGGCCGGGUGUGUAAGCGCAGCGAUGCGUUGAGCUAACCGGUACUAAUGAACCGUGAGGCUUAACCUUACAACGCCGAAGGUGUUU